GACGAACGCUGGCGGCGUGCUUAACACAUGCAAGUCAAGGGGCCCAGCAAUGGGCAACCGGCGAACGGGUGCGUAACACGUGAGCAACCUACCGAAAUGUGGGGAUAGCCGGCCUAACGGCCGAGUAAUACCGCAUACGCUCUCGAUGAGGCAUUUCAUUGAGAGGAAACCUACGGGACAUUUCGAGGGGCUCGCGGCCUAUCAGCUAGUUGGAGAGGUAACGGCUCACCAAGGCAACGACGGGUAGCUGGUCUGAGAGGAUGGCCAGCCACAUUGGGACUGAGAUACAGCCCAGACUCCUACGGGAGCAGCAGUGGGGAAUCUUGCGCAAUGGCCUAACGGCUGACGCAGCGACGCCGCGUGUAGGAUGAAGCUCUUCGGAGUGUAAGCUACUGUUGCCCGGGACGAACAGCUCGAUUAAUCGAGCCUGACGGUACCGGUGAGGAAGCACCGGCU
This 456-nucleotide ribosomal RNA is filed under the name uncultured bacterium. Its description in RNAcentral is "bacterial SSU rRNA". It matches the Rfam family "Bacterial small subunit ribosomal RNA", at positions 28 to 498 of the family's 1533-position model. The record is from RNAcentral.